AUUGAACGCUGGCGGAAUGCUUUACACAUGCAAGUCGAACGGCAGCACGGGGGCAACCCUGGUGGCGAGUGGCGAGCGGGUGAGUAAUACAUCGGAACGUGCCCAGUCGUGGGGGAUAACGUAGCGAAAGUUACGCUAAUACCGCAUACGAUCUACGGAUGAAAGCGGGGGACCGUAAGGCCUUGCGCGAUUGGAGCGGCCGAUGUCAGAUUAGGUAGUUGGUGAGGUAAAGGCUCACCAAGCCGACGAUCUGUAGCUGGUCUGAGAGGACGACCAGCCACACUGGGACUGAGACACGGCCCAGACUCCUACGGGAGGCAGCAGUGGGGAAUUUUGGACAAUGGGCGCAAGCCCGAUCCAGCCAUUCCACGUGCAGGACGAAGGCCUUCGGGUUGUAAACUGCUUUUGUACGGAACGAAAAGGCUCUGGUUAAUACCUGGGGCUCAUGACGGUACCGUAAGAAUAAGCACCGGCUAACUACGUGCCAGCCGCCGCGGUAA
RNAcentral lists this ribosomal RNA (500 nucleotides) under uncultured bacterium. Its description in RNAcentral is "partial 16S ribosomal RNA". It matches the Rfam family "Bacterial small subunit ribosomal RNA", at positions 30 to 523 of the family's 1533-position model. The record is from RNAcentral.